GAUUAACGCUAGCUACAGGCUUAACACAUGCAAGUCGAGGGGCAGCAUUUCAGUUUGCUUGCAAACUGGAGAUGGCGACCGGCGCACGGGUGAGUAACACGUAUCCAACCUGCCGAUAACUCGGGGAUAGCCUUUCGAAAGAAAGAUUAAUACCCGAUGGUAUAAUCAGACCGCAUGGUCUUGUUAUUAAAGAAUUUCGGUUAUCGAUGGGGAUGCGUUCCAUUAGGCAGUUGGUGAGGUAACGGCUCACCAAACCUUCGAUGGAUAGGGGUUCUGAGAGGAAGGUCCCCCACAUUGGAACUGAGACACGGUCCAAACUCCUACGGGAGGCAGCAGUGAGGAAUAUUGGUCAAUGGGCGCAGGCCUGAACCAGCCAAGUAGCGUGAAGGAUGACUGCCCUAUGGGUUGUAAACUUCUUUUAUAUGGGAAUAAAGUUUUCCACGUGUGGAAUUUUGUAUGUACCAUAUGAAUAAGGAUCGGCUAACUCCGUGCCAGCAGCCGCGGUAAUACGGAGGAUCCGAGCGUUAUCCGGAUUUAUUGGGUUUAAAGGGAGCGUAGGUGGACAGUUAAGUCAGUUGUGAAAGUUUGCGGCUCAACCGUAAAAUUGCAGUUGAUACUGGCUGUCUUGAGUACAGUAGAGGUGGGCGGAAUUCGUGGUGUAGCGGUGAAAUGCUUAGAUAUCACGAAGAACUCCGAUUGCGAAGGCAGCUCACUGGACUGCAACUGACACUGAUGCUCGAAAGUGUGGGUAUCAAACAGGAUUAGAUACCCUGGUAGUCCACACAGUAAACGAUGAAUACUCGCUGUUUGCGAUAUACAGUAAGCGGCCAAGCGAAAGCAUUAAGUAUUCCACCUGGGGAGUACGCCGGCAACGGUGAAACUCAAAGGAAUUGACGGGGGCCCGCACAAGCGGAGGAACAUGUGGUUUAAUUCGAUGAUACGCGAGGAACCUUACCCGGGCUUAAAUUGCAUUUGAAUAUAUUGGAAACAGUAUAGCCGUAAGGCAAAUGUGAAGGUGCUGCAUGGUUGUCGUCAGCUCGUGCCGUGAGGUGUCGGCUUAAGUGCCAUAACGAGCGCAACCCUUAUCUUUAGUUACUAACAGGUCAUGCUGAGGACUCUAGAGAGACUGCCGUCGUAAGAUGUGAGGAAGGUGGGGAUGACGUCAAAUCAGCACGGCCCUUACGUCCGGGGCUACACACGUGUUACAAUGGGGGGUACAGAAGGCAGCUACCUGGUGACAGGAUGCUAAUCCCAAAAGCCUCUCUCAGUUCGGAUCGAAGUCUGCAACCCGACUUCGUGAAGCUGGAUUCGCUAGUAAUCGCGCAUCAGCCAUGGCGCGGUGAAUACGUUCCCGGGCCU
Molecule: ribosomal RNA, 1359 nt
Filed under: uncultured bacterium
Lineage: Bacteria
Description: bacterial SSU rRNA
Rfam family: Bacterial small subunit ribosomal RNA
Source: RNAcentral